CCUACGGGGGGCUGCAGUGGGGAAUAUUGGACAAUGGGGGGAACCCUGAUCCAGCCAUGCCGCGUGUGUGAAGAAGGCCCUCGGGUUGUAAAGCACUUUCAGUGAGGAAGAACGCCUGGUGGUUAAUACCCAUCAGGAAAGACAUCACUCACAGAAGAAGCACCGGCUAACUCCGUGCCAGCAGCCGCGGUAAUACGGAGGGUACGAGCGUUAAUCGGAAUUACUGGGCGUAAAGCGCGCGUAGGUGGCUUGAUAAGCCGGUUGUGAAAGCCCCGGGCUCAACCUGGGAACGGCAUCCGGAACUGUCAAGCUAGAGUGCAGGAGAGGAAGGUAGAAUUCCCGGUGUAGCGGUGAAAUGCGUAGAGAUCGGGAGGAAUACCAGUGGCGAAGGCGGCCUUCUGGACUGACACUGACACUGAGGUGCGAAAGCGUGGGUAGCAAACAGGAUUAGAUACCCUUGUAGUC
RNAcentral lists this ribosomal RNA (465 nucleotides) under Vreelandella stevensii. RNAcentral's name for it is "partial 16S ribosomal RNA". It matches the Rfam family "Bacterial small subunit ribosomal RNA", at positions 338 to 795 of the family's 1533-position model. Lineage: Bacteria; Pseudomonadati; Pseudomonadota; Gammaproteobacteria; Oceanospirillales; Halomonadaceae. The record is from RNAcentral.